AGUCGACGAUGAACCUCACUUGUGGGGGGAUUAGUGGCGAACGGGUGAGUAACACGUGAGUAACCUGCCCUUGACUCUGGGAUAAGCCUGGGAAACCGGGUCUAAUACUGGAUACGACCUUCUGGCGCAUGCCAUGUUGGUGGAAAGCUUUUGUGGUUUUGGAUGGACUCGCGGCCUAUCAGCUUGUUGGUGGGGUAAUGGCCUACCAAGGCGACGACGGGUAGCCGGCCUGAGAGGGUGACCGGCCACACUGGGACUGAGACACGGCCCAGACUCCUACGGGAGGCAGCAGUGGGGAAUAUUGCACAAUGGGCGCAAGCCUGAUGCAGCGACGCCGCGUGAGGGAUGAAGGCCUUCGGGUUGUAAACCUCUUUCAGUAGGGAAGAAGCCGGCCUUUCGGGGUUGGUGACGGUACCUGCAGAAGAAGCGCCGGCUAACUACGUGCCAGCAGCCGCGGUAAUACGUAGGGCGCAAGCGUUAUCCGGAAUUAUUGGGCGUAAAGAGCUCGUAGGCGGUUUGUCGCGUCUGCCGUGAAAGUCCGGGGCUUAACCCCGGAUCUGCGGUGGGUACGGGCAGACUAGAGUGCAGUAGGGGAGACUGGAAUUCCUGGUGUAGCGGUGAAAUGCGCAGAUAUCAGGAGGAACACCGAUGGCGAAGGCAGGUCUCUGGGCUGUAACUGACGCUGAGGAGCGAAAGCAUGGGGAGCGAACAGGAUUAGAUACCCUGGUAGUCCAUGCCGUAAACGUUGGGCACUAGGUGUGGGGGACAUUCCACGUUUUCCGCGCCGUAGCUAACGCAUUAAGUGCCCCGCCUGGGGAGUACGGCCGCAAGGCUAAAACUCAAAGGAAUUGACGGGGGCCCGCACAAGCGGCGGAGCAUGCGGAUUAAUUCGAUGCAACGCGAAGAACCUUACCAAGGCUUGACAUGAACCGGAAUGAUGCAGAGAUGUGUCAGCCACUUGUGGCCGGUUUACAGGUGGUGCAUGGUUGUCGUCAGCUCGUGUCGUGAGAUGUUGGGUUAAGUCCCGCAACGAGCGCAACCCUCGUUCCAUGUUGCCAGCGGGUUAUGCCGGGGACUCAUGGGAGACUGCCGGGGUCAACUCGGAGGAAGGUGGGGACGACGUCAAAUCAUCAUGCCCCUUAUGUCUUGGGCUUCACGCAUGCUACAAUGGCCGGUACAAAGGGUUGCGAUACUGUGAGGUGGAGCUAAUCCCAAAAAGCCGGUCUCAGUUCGGAUUGAGGUCUGCAACUCGACCUCAUGAAGUUGGAGUCGCUAGUAAUCGCAGAUCAGCAA
RNAcentral lists this ribosomal RNA (1293 nucleotides) under Actinomycetes bacterium. Its description in RNAcentral is "bacterial SSU rRNA". It matches the Rfam family "Bacterial small subunit ribosomal RNA", at positions 60 to 1355 of the family's 1533-position model. Lineage: Bacteria; Bacillati; Actinomycetota; Actinomycetes. The record is from RNAcentral.